CCCACCCCACCAACGCCAUCCUCUACUAUUCUCUCUUUUUUUUCUCCCCCUCUCCUUUUCCUCCUCACCGCGGCUGCUCGCCGGCGCGCGCGCGCCCUAGCCGCCGCUCACCCACACCCUAGCUGCCGCUCACCCACGCCGGCCAGCGCUGCUCGCCUGUGCCGCUCGCCCGCGCCGGCCGAGCCGGCCGCGGCGGCCGCCCUCGCUCCAUCGGGCGCGGCGCCGGGGCGAAGCGCGCUGCAGAUCCGGCCGCUGGAGAUCCACGCGCCGGUGCGACGCGCAGAGGCAAGCACCGACGCGCCAAACCCUAGAGAUCUGGGCCCGGUGGCGUCGACCUGGCGCGGGCACAACAUCGCCGCCUCUCUUCGCGUGGCCGGAGAUGGCUUCCCCACUCACGCCCAUGCUACACUCAGCCUCCUCUCUCCCCGGUGGCUGCCACCUCCCCAACCCCACGUCCACGCCUCCUUUCCCCGCCUAUUGCCGCCUCUCCUCGCACCCUCCACUGCCUGCUGCUCCGUGCCGGGGAAGCCGCCUACGGACGGCGAGGGCGCCAGCCCGGCUGUGCGGCAGGCGGAGCUGCCGGCGAGCGGCGAGGCGCCGUGCUAGGGAGCAGCAGGGCGGAGCCCAAGCUAUCGAGGGACUGCAGCACUAGCUUGUUGGCCGCCAGGCAGCAGACCAACAUGGUGGGUUCGUUGAAGGGGACUUCGAUACAUAUGUCUCUCAGCUUAGAAAGCCACAUGUUUGGGGAGCUGAAGGCCACAUCUUACAGUCAACGUGUGCUGCCAAAGUCAGCUCAAAAUGGGGUAGUUUCGUAAGACCUUUCAGUGCAAAAGCAGCUGGAAAUGAGAUUAUUGGAAUUGAUUUGGGAACUACUAACUCAUGUCUUUCUAUUAUGGAUGAAAAGGUGAGGUCCCCGAGUAAAGACUGUCCCUGUCCUUUUUUCCCUGUCGCUCUCAUUUAUCUAGCUGAAUCGUCAAUCAAGUGACUGCAGAACCCAAGGGUCAUAAUAAAAGAGAUAAAAUAUGUGUUAAGCCUUACAAUUCACCUUGACCAUUUAUCUUUGCAAGUUACAUGCUUUCAACUGUUUAUUACUUGGAUUAUCAGGAUAUAUAUUAUCUUUUGAUUGGUAACAACAUUAAUUGUUUUAAGCUUUGGCACUAUGCUAUUGUGAAUUUUUUGUUUAUAAAAGAAAGUAAUGUAUUUAUAUGAAAACACGGUGUAUGUAUUUUGUGUUGAGUUUUGUCAUGCUGAUUUAGGCAAGUCAAAUGUUCAGGUAAGUGCUAAUCAGAUCUACCAAGUACUAUAUCAGAAGUUUGUGUCAAUUGCUUCUGAUGUCACAUUCUGAGAUCAUGUUUUAUUUGUUCAGUAGAGUUUGGAUUCCCAAAUUCUGAAGACAAGAGUUCUUGUUUGCGAAGGCUGAAUACAAGAGUUCAGACUCACAGAAGCUGCUCUAAUUUGGUUUCUGGACCAAAUGUGUUCGAUUUCAUAAAUAUGUAUGGCCUCCACAAGCUUAAUACGUAGCAACUGGCAAAGCUCUUUAGCCUUGGUUUUAGUUACUGCUGGAUGGAAAUUUACUUUUACCUUUUUAGCAUUGCUGCUCAACUAAAUGGCUGUUUCAACAGCAAUUUCAUAUUCAGUUCCCAUCAAGGGAUCAAUACUUCUUCCAAGCAACUCAGUUCCUGAAUUAUGAGCACUGCUGGACUCUGGUGUGCUAUUGUAGUGUCUUCUGUUCUCUUAAUAUUCAGAAUGUGCCUCGGCAACUUGUUUGAGCUUAUGAUAAUGCUCAAACAUUACAUGCUACCUUAUGAGUUAUGAUCAAUAUACUGCCAAUGGCAGUGCUACUUCUUUGAUUUGAUAUUUCUUAUAGGAGUAAGUUGUCACUCCAUGUUUAUAUUAAGUCAUUGCAGAAGUUACAAUGUUACUGCACACAAUUGAAGGGGUAACUGAUGUUAUUUACUUCUUUUCAGGUUGCAAAGAGGAGAGAGAAGUUGCUGAAUUACAUGCUGUUCCUUAGAGUCACUCCAACACUUCCGAAUACUUUCAUCAAUUUUGCUGUUCUUGAUCGGGCUUGUUUUGGUGACGCCAACAUUGCUGGGCAAGAAAGAGGCGCACAACAGAGCACCAGAAGGCACUGCAGCUAGCACCAACUGAUCGCUUGCACGCCACCCCAGCGCCCUCCUUCCCUGUACAUACUGAGGCUCAGCGCAUGGUGGUGGCUCCAUGACUUCAGAUCAAAUGGAACCUGUCACUAGCCACGAACAUGACGAGGGUCCCAGCACUGUCUCCACUUUUGGGAAAACUUUUGUGCUGAUAUUGUGAAGGGGAUGUACAUAUCAUGGAUUCAUGGUCGCCUCAUGCUGGACUGCUUUCGAUUCUGGUGUUUAACUGAUUCACUGAUUACUGUAUCUUGCACACUUUAACCUGAGUCAAUCAAUACAGCUGAUUGAAUGAUCAUGAACAUCUGUUAUCUU
Long non-coding RNA from Panicum virgatum (switchgrass), 2471 nucleotides. RefSeq lists it as uncharacterized. Lineage: Eukaryota; Viridiplantae; Streptophyta; Magnoliopsida; Poales; Poaceae. The transcript is spliced from 4 exons. The record is from RefSeq and is a predicted model, not a curated record.